AGUGUAGGAGGGUUCCCUUUUCUCCACACCCUCUCCAGCAUUUAUUGUCUGUAGACUUUUUGAUGAUGGCCAUUCUGACAGGAAACAUCUGAGGAGUUUUCUUUCUUUCUUUCUUUUUUUUUUUUCUUUUUUGGUCUUUUUAGGGCUGUACCUGCAGCAUAUAGAAGUUCCCAGACUAGGGGUCAAAUUGGAGCUAUAGCUGCCAGCCUGCACCACAGCCACAGCAACAUGGGAUCUGAGCCACAAGUCUUAAAACCUACACCAUAGCUGCAUCUCUGACCUACGCCAUAGCUCAUGGCAAAGAGGGAUCCUUAACCCACUGAGCGACACCAGAGAUCAAACCCACGUCCUCAUGGUAUACUAGUUGGGUUUGUUACUGCUGAGCCAUGGUGGAAACUCCCAAGACACGUUUGAAUUUUGAGGGAGGCAGAAAUCAGGCUGGUUGGUUCCUACAUGAAGCUAUUUCUAACGCAGCCCAUGAAAAGAAGAGACACAUAAUUUCCCUUGUGGACAGAUUGCUUUAAAAUCUGCACCCUCUCUUGGACGGGUGAUGCCAAUUUCCCUGGGGCUGGGGUCCUCAGCAAAGAAUUGUUCUUGUUUGCAAUGUCUCUCCUCUGAGUCUGAAUUCAUACGUUGCCUCAGAGCCAUACAGUUUGCCUUCACAUAAAAUCCUCCAGCAGUCGUAGGAGAUCGGACACAUCCUUGAUAUAUUUCCAAGAACCCAUGUCUCAGCAGCAAAGUAGACCUCUUGAUACUUUGAGUGAUUUAAGAAAUAAGCCUUUGGGACCCCCCCCUCCAAAAAAAAAAAUACUAAACAGCAUCAUUCCAGGAAAAACGUAGGGCUGGUGCCAUUGCCAUUUAUUCCUGUAAAAUCUAGGAGGAAAAUGCCAUUUUUCAAAUGUAAGCUCAAAUCAUUUCCUUUGAAGGCCGUCUUUAAAAUACCUCUCACCAAGUCUAGUGCCUCUGAAUGUGGAUGACAAACACGGUUAGAAGCAAUGAACCGUUCCCUGAUUUUUCUUUUUUUUUUUUUUUUGUCUUUUUGCCAUUUCUUGGCCCGCUCCCGCAGCAUAUGGAGGUUCCCAGGCUAGGGGUCCAAUCGGAGCUGUAGCCACCGGCCUUCACCAGAGCCACAGCAAUGCGGGAUCCGAGCCACGUCUGCAACCUACACCACAGCUCACGGCAAUGCCACAUCUUUAGCUCACUGAGCGAGGCCAAGGAUCGAACCCGCAACCUCAUGGUUCCUAGUCGGAUUUGUUAACCACUGAGCCACGAUGGGAACUCCCGUUCCCUGAUUUUUCAACAAUGGCAGUGCUUUCUGGGAGGUGAGGCUUUGAGCUUUUGGACCCUUAGGGGCUUGGUUUUGGAAUGGAAGACAGGCCCCUCUGAAUGGCACAUUAGUUACACAGAGAGUAACCUCAUUCAUUUAAAGAGACCCAGGUACAGUAGCAGCAGAUCGUGUAAUGAGAUACUGUUGCUUUGACCAUUCAGAGGACAGAAUAGGGCAGUGUUCUCCACUGCUGUAUCUCCUGGGUUGUGCUCUAUGUAUACGUCCAGUUCCUAGGUAGGAGGGUGCAUGAAGUGGGGGCAACAGGACCGUUUGGGUGAUUUCUUACCGAUAGCCUUGGAGGCAGAGAACAAGAAAUAAAACACGAGUUUUCAUUAGAGCAAAAGUAGCAUCUCCAGCAUAGGUUGACCAAGCUCUAACUCCUAAGGGGAGUGUUGCCUGAGUCAUCCUUGUUGCGGCUGGGGUGGGGGGGACAGGAUUCUAGUGAUUUUAAUAUAACCAAGCGCCUUCUCUUUGAUGUUAUUUGCCCUGGAGAGAUCCAAUAUUACAGCGAUGGAUGGCCGCUAUGACUAAACCACAGACCAGGCUGAACUUCAAGUACAAACGAUUCCUUUCUUGCUAGGGAUCACGUCCUGACCCCGUGAAUGACAACACGGACAUUCGAGAAGAACAGAUGCAUAUUUUAAUGAGUGCCAUUAUAAUGGGAAAGCCAGGGACUGGAGGGGAACACAGGGGCAUAGAAAAUUUAGGUAGAGAAAACUCCUUUAGCCGCAGGAUUACUUCUGUCAAAGUUAUGAAAAUCAGGAGGCAUUCCUUUAGUGCACUUCAGGAAAAUACUCAAAAAAUGAUCAUUUGUUUGCCACCGUUAGUCUUGUUCAAGGACCAUCCCAUGGUUUUCCAAAGGAAAUCACUUUGACGCAGAGUCUUUGAUUUUGGAAGCAACGUAGUGUUAGCAUCAGGACUGGAUUAUCCCUUCCAAUAUGCCAGCCAUUUUAAUAUUUUUACCUUUCAUCCUCUAUAAAAUGAUAUGCAGUAAAUAAGCAUCCUGUUUACGUCACAGUUUUAUACGAAGAUAAAAUUAUAAAUUAUACAAUUAUGCCAUUACUUCAAACCUAAUUCGUAGAGAAAUUUUACACAUGAAAUUUCAAUCACUUGGUAAGCCACUGCCUGAAGCUUCUUGAAUAGGGAACGAAAGGUGUUUGUUAAUCAUUAAUGAUUUAGACAGCGUGAAAUUUGUUAUGGCAAACAUCCAGUUAGUUGGAAGGAAUGGUAAAGACACUUUUCAUCCUUGCAUAGGAAAAGAACUCUAGAAGUCAUACAGUCCUAGGGUACGUAUAUAACAUUAGCUCAUCAAAGGAAAGGAGGAAGCUUUGAGAAUGAAAACGGUUGCUAUUUAAUAUUUUGUUAGGGAGAGUUCCUCGGUGGCUCAGUGGGUUAAGGAUCCAGCAUGGUCACAGCUGUGGCAUGGGUUUUGUCCCCAGCCCAGGAACUUAUGCCAUGAGGCACAGCCCCCAUCUCCCCAAAAAAAGAAGGAUAGCCUGGAGGGUAACAGGGAAAUAAAACCUUCAGUACUAGCAAACUAAAUGAAAACAUUUUUUUUUAAUUGUUAGGACAGCAGGCAUAAAUUGGGAAGUCAGGUUUUAUUCACAUACCUAUGUUACCCCAAGGCAUCUGCUGGUCUGGAUAAGUGAUGUCCUUAGGAGAAACAGGGACUAUUCAGAGGAUAUUCCCAAGGUCAACCUGUCAUGGCUAACUUUGAAGCUUCAUUCUACCUGACUCAUGGUUCACUGCAGUUUAUUACACACUACUGAGUUGCAAAUGUGACGUUGCUCAGUGAGGUGAGCAACUUCUUCCAGUUCUUACACAGCUCUUUAUCUCUUAAAUUCCUGUAAUGUUCUAGAAAUAGAGCUGAGUCACUGUGAUCAGGAACUGCACUGUGUUGAAUUAGCAGUCAAAACCAUACUCUAUCC
Molecule: long non-coding RNA, 3255 nt
Filed under: Sus scrofa (pig)
Lineage: Eukaryota; Metazoa; Chordata; Mammalia; Artiodactyla; Suidae
Description: lncRNA (ENSSSCG00000058186.1)
Source: RNAcentral